CCCCGCCACCGUGAGCUCCAUGGGACAGCUGCCGGAGCCCCCCGCCGUCCCCAGUCUCUUGUGCGAUGCGCUCACCAUGGCGCUGCUUAGACGCGGCCACCUUAGUGCUACCUCCGCCCGGGUGGCUCAAUCCCAGUCGUGCACCAUCCCGGGAGGGGCGGGGGGCUGGGCGGGGGGCGAGAAAGGAGGGACAAAGCAGCCCCGACAACUGCUCUGCGGCGGUGAAGCCGCCCAGCGCCGCCUUAUAGAGGGGGGAGGGGCGGGGAGGGGCUGGCGCGUCUGCCAAUGGGAGCCCAGUGCCUGUGACCGACCGCGAGAGAAGCUCGGCGGGGAUGGCGAUACGGGGAAGCAGACAGUUUGAGAGAGCCCUCUACUUCUGCCCAAGGCAAAAGAGGAAGAAACAGCUUAAUUGGAGCUGCAGCCUUUUUACUAAUGCAAGAAGCAUCUUCCUGCAGUCUUUAGUGAGCCAUAUGUGUCUUUAAAAUCCUAGCGGUUAUAGAAUGUCAGAGCUGGCA
This 515-nucleotide long non-coding RNA is filed under the name Monodelphis domestica (gray short-tailed opossum). RNAcentral's name for it is "lncRNA (ENSMODG00000039967.1)". The record is from RNAcentral. Lineage: Eukaryota; Metazoa; Chordata; Mammalia; Didelphimorphia; Didelphidae.